RNAcentral lists this ribosomal RNA (528 nucleotides) under uncultured marine bacterium. RNAcentral describes it as "bacterial SSU rRNA". It matches the Rfam family "Bacterial small subunit ribosomal RNA", at positions 355 to 896 of the family's 1533-position model. The record is from RNAcentral.
UGGGGAAUAUUGUGCAAUGAACGAAAGUUUGACACAGCGACACCGCGUGUGGGAUGACGGAUCUAGGUUUGUAAACCACUUUCAGGAGGGAAGAAAAUGACGGUACCUCCACAAGAAGCCCCGGCCAACUACGUGCCAGCAGCCGCGGUAAUACGUAGGGGGCGAGCGUUGUCCGGAUCUAUUGGGCGUAAAGAGCUCGUAGGCGGUUCAACAAGUCGGUAGUAAAAGUUCAGGGCUCAACCCUGAAAUGUCUAUCGAUACUGUUGUGACUAGGAUACGGCAGAGGUGAGUGGAAUUCCGAGUGUAGCGGUGAAAUGCGUAGAUAUUCGGAGGAACACCAAUUGCGAAGGCAGCUCACUGGGCCGCUAUCGACGCUGAGGAGCGAAAGCUAGGGGAGCAAACAGGAUUAGAUACCCUGGUAGUCCUAGCUGUAAACGAUGGAUACUAGACGUAGGAACUGGAUUGACGGUUUCUGUGUCGUAGCUAACGCGUUAAGUAUCCCGCCUGGGGAGUACGGUCGCAAGACUA